Molecule: transfer RNA, 73 nt
Filed under: Cavia porcellus (domestic guinea pig)
Lineage: Eukaryota; Metazoa; Chordata; Mammalia; Rodentia; Caviidae
Rfam family: tRNA
About the family: Transfer RNA (tRNA) molecules are approximately 80 nucleotides in length. Their secondary structure includes four short double-helical elements and three loops (D, anti-codon, and T loops). Further hydrogen bonds mediate the characteristic L-shaped molecular structure. tRNAs have two regions of fundamental functional importance: the anti-codon, which is responsible for specific mRNA codon recognition, and the 3' end, to which the tRNAs corresponding amino acid is attached (by aminoacyl-tRNA synthetases). tRNAs cope with the degeneracy of the genetic code in two manners: having more than one tRNA (with a specific anti-codon) for a particular amino acid; and 'wobble' base-pairing, i.e. permitting non-standard base-pairing at the 3rd anti-codon position.
Source: Rfam by way of RNAcentral
GGGGAUUUAGCUCAGUGGUGCAAGCGCUUGCCUAGCAAGUACAAGGUCCUGAGUUUGAUCCCCAGUACCCCCA